CGUCCGCGUCGGCGUCCGCGUCGCCGGCUGUCGUUGCGUUUCAAUCAGCCGAAAUUCGACAGCGGGCCGCGUGGCACGCGCGCGAUUAAAUAAAUUACAGAGUCUCGCGGGGUCCGGCUCGUGGGAGAGACAGCCAGCCGGCUGCAUAAUCUGUCAUUGUGUCAGGCGCAGGACGUUUUCACGCUGCGGUGUGCGGCCGCCGAGUAGCGUGCGUGGGUGUGCACGCGGUCGACGACAGGCCUGCUCGCGUUGGAUAAUGAGUAUUCGCGCGAGGACACGCGGAACCGAGACCGCCAUAACCUAAUUCCGCUGCGGCCGCCGCCUCGGCCCCUUCGAGGCCACCGGGCUGAUCCAUUCGCGGGCCACGUCUGAUCUCACUCGGUUUCUGGAUCGACGAUUACCGGCCCUGAAUCGUGAUUUCCAAGAGAGACCUGUUAAUCACGCUUCCACGGAACAAUUUUUUUCCUCCGCCAGUUGGCGCGCCGUUUUGGUUCCUUCGCUGUCCUGGAUCGGCCGCGGAACCACAGCCGUCGCUUCCAGGACAAUUCUGUGCAUUCGGGAGAAAAAUCGGAAUCACGGCAAUGUGUCCCGGCACCGAACUAAGAAUUCGCGCGUUCGCAUUUCACGGAGGGCCGGCGCAGAGGAACCGGAAGAGGGAUUUAUCUCGGAGAUUCGUGGAAGGGGGUUGACGGACAAAGGACGAAAGGGGUUGCACGGGGACGUGGUUGCGGCAAGCAGCGCGUGGUAAAUGGAUUUGCCGGGGAAGCCCGACGCGCUACGUGACAUUGAUAAUUUGCCACGAAGACCGGAGGAGGAAACGCAAAAGAGCAUCGGGAUUAGAUGGUCGGCUGCGCUCUUCCGGAUUGUCUGCGAUGCAUUUCAGUUAGUGGUCGAUCGUGACGGCCGAGGAACGUUCGGGAAACAGCUCCCGGAAAAUUACAGUUAUUAGCGAUUAAUAGCUGCAAAACCUGCUUGCCAGACGACUGGUUUCGAGCCCCAGCCCUCGACAGGCUUAGCAUUAUUGUGAGCAUCUUGUAUAAAUUGCGGAGAGGCAACGGAACUUCGUAGAUGAUCAAUUGCAGGUUUCAUUUUUGGUGGAUGCAGCAAGGGAGCAGCGUUUGUGCAGUGCGCAAAGAAUGUUUGUUACAAUUAACAACCAAAAGAAUUUUUAUAAUAGUCCUUUUGUGAUCAGAGAUCAGCAGAAGGGAGUUUCUUAAAAAAUGCCUGAAAAUAGAUAACAGUUUCAUUAAUAAUUCGCUUAACAAGUUCUUCUGAAAUUAUUACUCGAGAGAAGAUUAUUUAUUUUCUUUCGCAUACAGCACAGUCGUUGAAAAGCUUGUCAGUAGGCUUCCGGUGUGUAAAACGUUAAUUAAUUGGCAAUAUUUAUGUGAAAUAAAAAUGUUCCACAUCGAUGGUUAAAAAAAUAGCUA
This is a non-coding RNA of Megalopta genalis, 1430 nucleotides long. NCBI's taxonomy places the organism in Eukaryota, Metazoa, Arthropoda, Insecta, Hymenoptera, Halictidae. The record is from RefSeq and is a predicted model, not a curated record.